CAGCAGCCGCGGUAAUACAGAGGGUGCAAGCGUUAAUCGGAAUUACUGGGCGUAAAGCGCGCGUAGGUGGUUCGUUAAGUUGGAUGUGAAAUCCCCGGGCUCAACCUGGGAACUGCAUCCAAAACUGGCGAGCUAGAGUAGGGCAGAGGGUUGUGGAAUUUCCUGUGUAGCGGUGAAAUGCGUAGAUAUAGGAAGGAACACCAGUGGCGAAGGCGACCACCUGGGCUCAUACUGACACUGAGGUGCGAAAGCGUGGGGAGCAAACAGGAUUAGAUACCCCUGUAGUCCCUGUCUCUUAUAC
This 301-nucleotide ribosomal RNA is filed under the name uncultured bacterium. RNAcentral describes it as "partial 16S ribosomal RNA". It matches the Rfam family "Bacterial small subunit ribosomal RNA", at positions 509 to 807 of the family's 1533-position model. The record is from RNAcentral.